AUGAAGAGGUCCCAAAUGAUAAAGAAAAACUAUGUUAGGAGUAUGGGCAUCUCCACCACUUGUUUCAAUAAAACCAGAGGAUUUUAUGAUUAUGAAUUUGGUUCGAAAUAUGUUAAUGAUAUGUGCACUCGAUCUGAGCCAAUAUCCGAUGAAUUGAAAAGUGUUAAAUGGCCCAUGGAUAAAUUUAUAUUUGUUCACAAGUAUCAGAAAUCUGGAAUGGUGACACUACAUAUUCAAUUCAAAUUUGAAAAUACAUCUGAUCCCAGCUACGGAGGUCGCCAUGUGCCUCAAAGGAGUCUCCAUCGCAACUCUGGUCGUCUGCAAUUACACUAG
RNAcentral lists this ribosomal RNA (333 nucleotides) under Triticum aestivum (bread wheat). RNAcentral describes it as "partial small subunit ribosomal RNA". Lineage: Eukaryota; Viridiplantae; Streptophyta; Magnoliopsida; Poales; Poaceae. The record is from RNAcentral.